Molecule: long non-coding RNA, 638 nt
Filed under: Pan troglodytes (chimpanzee)
Lineage: Eukaryota; Metazoa; Chordata; Mammalia; Primates; Hominidae
Description: lincRNA
Source: RNAcentral
CCAACUUUUUGUUCAUUCUAACUCUUACCACACCGAGCUUUCCUUGGUGUCAGCCACAGGGGUCACUAAGCCAUCAGCUGAUCAAGAAAGCCUCCCGAGUAGCUGGGACUACAGGUGCCCGCUGUCAGGCCUCUGAGCCCAAGCGAAGCCAUCACAUCCCCUGUGACUUGCACGUAUAUGCCCAGAUGGCCUGAAGUAACUGAAGAAUCACAAAAGAAGUGAAUAUGCCCUGCCCCAUCUUAACUGAUGACAUUCCACCACAAAAGAAGUGGAUGCGCAUGAAAUUUGGUGCCCUGACUCAGAUCGGGGGACCUCCCUUAGGAGAUCAAUCCCCUGUCCUCCUGUUCUUUGCUCCAUGAGAAAGAUCCACCUACGACCUCAGGUCCUCAGACUGGACCAGCCCAAGGAACAUCUCACCAAUUUUAAAUCAGGUUCCCACGCCGCCCCUAAUCCAGCUUGAAGCAGCCCUGAGAAACAUCGCCCAUUCUCUCUCCAUAUCACCCCCCAAAAAUUUUUGCCACCCCAACACUUCAACACUAUUUUGUUUUAUUUUUCUUAUUAAUAUAAGAAGGCGGGAAUGUCAGGCCUCUGAGCCCAAGCCAAGCCAUCGCAUCCCCUGUGACUUGCACUUAUACGCC